GAUGAACGCUGGCGGCGUGCCUAAUACAUGCAAGUCGAGCGAACAGACGCGGAGCUUGCUCCUCUGACGUUAGCGGCGGACGGGUGAGUAACACGUGGAUAACCUACCUAUAAGACUGGGAUAACUUCGGGAAACCGGAGCUAAUACCGGAUAAUAUAUUGAACCGCAUGGUUCAAUAGUGAAAGACGGUUUUGCUGUCACUUAUAGAUGGUUCCGGGCCGCAUUAGAUAGUUGGUAAGUUCACGGCUUACCAAGGCAACGAUGCGUAGCCGACCGAUGAGGCGGGUAGGCGGCCUUGGAAGUGAGACACGGACAAGGCGCCUGAGAGAGGCAGCAGUAGGGAAUCUGCCGCAGUGGGGGAAAGCCUGACGGAGCAGGGGCGAGUGAGUGAUGACGGCCUUCGGAGCGGAAAACUGUGUUAUGAGUGAAGAACAAAUGUGUAAGGAAAUAUGGACGGAUUGACGGUAACUAAUAAGAAAGCCACGGCUAACUACGUG
Molecule: ribosomal RNA, 497 nt
Filed under: uncultured bacterium
Lineage: Bacteria
Description: partial 16S ribosomal RNA
Rfam family: Bacterial small subunit ribosomal RNA
Source: RNAcentral